GCGAAGGUGGCGGAAUUGGUAGACGCGCUAGCUUCAGGUGUUAGUUGGUAGCGCAACUGGUUUGGGACCAGUGGGUCGGAGGUUCGAAUCCUCUCUCGCC
Molecule: transfer RNA, 100 nt
Filed under: Escherichia coli
Lineage: Bacteria; Pseudomonadati; Pseudomonadota; Gammaproteobacteria; Enterobacterales; Enterobacteriaceae
Description: tRNA-Pro
Rfam family: tRNA
About the family: Transfer RNA (tRNA) molecules are approximately 80 nucleotides in length. Their secondary structure includes four short double-helical elements and three loops (D, anti-codon, and T loops).
Source: RNAcentral